Molecule: non-coding RNA, 122 nt
Organism: Hordeum vulgare subsp. vulgare (domesticated barley)
Lineage: Eukaryota; Viridiplantae; Streptophyta; Magnoliopsida; Poales; Poaceae
Source: Rfam
AGUAUACUCCCUCUGUCCUUAAUUGCUUGUCGCAGAAAUGAAUUACAGCAGAUGUAUCAAAUUAAAAUAUGAUUAGAUACAUUAAUUUUUCGACAAGUAUUUUCGGACAGAGGGAGUAUGUG